Molecule: ribosomal RNA, 380 nt
Filed under: uncultured bacterium
Lineage: Bacteria
Description: partial 16S ribosomal RNA
Rfam family: Bacterial small subunit ribosomal RNA
Source: RNAcentral
CCUACGGGUGGCAGCAGUGGGGAAUAUUGCACAAUGGGGGAAACCCUGAUGCAGCGACGCCGCGUGAGUGAAGAAGGAUUUCGGUAUGUAAAGCUCUAUCAGCAGGGAAGAAAAUGCCGGUACCUGAUUAAGAAGCCCCGGCUAAUUACGUGCCAGCAGCCGCGGUAAAACGGAGGGUGCAAGCGUUAUACGGAUUUACGGGGUGUAAAGGGAGCGUAGGCGGUGAUGCAAGUGAGAAGUGAAAGCCCGGGGCUCAACUACGGGACUGCUUUUGAAACUGUGUGACUGGAGAGCAGGAGAGGUAGGCGGAAUUCCUGGUGUAGCGGUGAAAUGCGUAGAUAUCAGAAGGAACACCAGUGGCGAAGGCGGCUUACUGAGCU